This 468-nucleotide ribosomal RNA is filed under the name uncultured bacterium. RNAcentral describes it as "partial 16S ribosomal RNA". It matches the Rfam family "Bacterial small subunit ribosomal RNA", at positions 28 to 507 of the family's 1533-position model. The record is from RNAcentral.
GACGAACGCUGGCGGCGUGCUUAACACAUGCAAGUCGAACGGAAAGGCCCUGCUUUUGUGGGGUGCUCGAGUGGCGAACGGGUGAGUAACACGUGAGUAACCUGCCCUUGACUUUGGGAUAACUUCAGGAAACUGGGGCUAAUACCGGAUAGGAGCUCCUGCGGCAUGGUGGGGGUUGGAAAGUUUCGGCGGUUGGGGAUGGACUCGCGGCUUAUCAGCUUGUUGGUGGGGUAGUGGCUUACCAAGGCUUUGACGGGUAGCCGGCCUGAGAGGGUGACCGGCCACAUUGGGACUGAGAUACGGCCCAGACUGCUACGGGAGGCAGCGGUGGGAAAUAUUGCACAAUGGGCGGAAGCCUGAUGCAGCAACGCCGCGUGCGGGAUGACGGCCUUCGGGUUGUAAACCGCUUUCGCCUGUGACGAAGCGUGAGUGACGGUAAUGGGUAAAGAAGCACCGGCUAACUACGUG